AAAGAAUUGAAAUGUAUCUUUUUGGAGACAAGUAUGGGAUUGAAGAAACAGUAUCACAUGGUUUAUGAGUGUAUCCCUCUCCCAAAGGAAGUGGGUGAUAUGGCUCCCAUCUAUUUUAAGAAAGCCAUAAUGGAAUCUGAUGAAGAAUGGUCUAUGAAUAAGAAGUUGAUUGAUUUGUCUUCAAAAGAUAUUAGAAAGUCUGUACCCAGAGGCUUGCCUUACUUUGCUGUAGACUUUGGACUUCAGGGAGGAUUUGCCCACAUCAUUGAAGAUCAGUACAAAUUUCCUCAUUACUUUGGAAAGGAAGUCAUUGGUGGUAUGCUGGAUCUAGAACCCAGGCUGUGGAGGAAUGGGAUCCGAGAAAGCUUUGAGGACCAGAGGAAGAAAGUGUUGCAGUUUGCUCAGUGGUGGAAACCAUAUGAUGUCACUAAAAGUAAAAGCAUUUAAGUGGGCGUUAUGUGUCCUUUUCUAUAUUGAGCCCAUUCAGUUUAUGUCUAUGAAUAACUGUGCCUUGGGCUCUAGGGAAAGCAGCAGCAGCAGCAGCAGCAGCAGCAGCAGCAGCAGCAACAGCAGCAGCAACAGUAGCAGGAGGCUACUCUAGUCACUGACAUCCAUGUUAGAUCAAGUUGUUUUCUUCCUCAUGGUUCCUGGAGACUUGGUUGGGUGACUGUGGAGUAAGAGGAAAUGCAUCAAGAUUAUCAGCUCACAUUUCUUUCUGUGUCUACUUCUCCACGUUCAAAUUACUCAGUUUCUCUAGAAAGGGACUUGUUUCCAGAGGUCUACUAAGGCUGCAGGGGAAAGUUGUCUGCUUCCAGGUAGAUUCUGACCUAGCUUCUUCUAUGCUUUUUAAACAAGACUGGAUGUAUUCAGUACUAAUUGAAAUUUCUUUUCUUAGUUUUACGGAAGAGUUUCUUUUUUUCUAGUAGCAUAUAGUAUUACUAUGUGUAUUGUCUUAGUUAAAGAAAAAGAUUAAAGGAUUAAAUGAUAGUGAAAAUAUUCAUAAAUAUAAGCUUAUUUGUUCUGGACUUGAAAUAGUCUGAAUUGUGGUAAUCAUAAAAGUAAUUUUCUAAAUAACACAAUUUUCAGUUCUUUGUAGUUCAUGUAACUCUAAAGUCUGUUGACAAAUCACUGUAUUAGGGUUGUAAUGUUAUCUCAGGUGCUAAAUAAUAGUAACAUAAGUGUCCAAGGAACACUCUCUUGUUCCUAUUUGAUUAAAGGUACUUAAGUUUUAUUGUUCUUAACAUUUGAUCUUGAGAAAGCCUUGGAUUUAUAAAAUAUAAAUUGUAGUAAGUACGUUUUAGCAUGCCUUUAAAACUCUGAAUGCCUAGAAUCAGUGUAUCAGUGUAAAGUGUGCUUCAGAGUAACUCAUUACAUAUUUAAUGUCAGGUUGUCACUGUUUCCACAUAUAUUAUUUGUAUGUAAAAAAGGCAACUUUUUUUCUUUUCAAAUUUCACAAAUGUGUUGAAGCUUAAUAGUUUUUUUUAACCUUCAAUACUUAAAAAUUACAUCUAAAUGUGGAUGUAUAUAUAUUAAGCAGAUAUGAUGGCUAUUACAGUCUUUUCAACUAUUGGCUUUGCCAUAAGUCUUACAUUCAUUUUUAUAAUCAGCGAAUUAAAACAUUUGAUUAUAGAGUGCUAUGUUAUGUUGAUAGUUCAAAAAAUAUAAAUACUCCUGCCUCAGAGUCUACUGAAUCUGUAGCGUUUGUGUCCUACCUGAACUGCUUUUGCCCUGGCUCCAGUUACUUCUUGAUGUGCAAUCAAUUUUCUCAAAACCUCUGUGAUAUUUAAUAGUAGCUAUUAUUUUGU
This 1805-nucleotide long non-coding RNA is filed under the name Rattus norvegicus (Norway rat). Its description in RNAcentral is "long non-coding RNA NONRATT024043". The record is from RNAcentral. Lineage: Eukaryota; Metazoa; Chordata; Mammalia; Rodentia; Muridae.